GAUGAACGCUGGCGGCGUGCUUAACACAUGCAAGUCGAACGGUAAGGCCCUUCGGGGUACACGAGUGGCGAACGGGUGAGUAACACGUGGGUGAUCUGCCCUGCACUUCGGGAUAAGCCUGGGAAACUGGGUCUAAUACCGGAUAGGACCACUGCCUGCAUGGGUGGUGGUGGAAAGCUUUUGCGGUGUGGGAUGGGCCCGCGGCCUAUCAGCUUGUUGGUGGGGUGAUGGCCUACCAAGGCGACGACGGGUAGCCGGCCUGAGAGGGUGACCGGCCACACUGGGACUGAGAUACGGCCCAGACUCCUACGGGAGGCAGCAGUGGGGAAUAUUGCACAAUGGGCGCAAGCCUGAUCCAGCCAUGCCGCGUGAGUGAUGAAGGCCUUAGGGUUGUAAACCUCUUUUAGCAGGGAAGAAGCGAAAGUGACGGUACCUGCAGAAAAGGCACCGGCUAACUACGUGCCAGCAGCCGCAGUAA
Molecule: ribosomal RNA, 478 nt
Filed under: uncultured bacterium
Lineage: Bacteria
Description: partial 16S ribosomal RNA
Rfam family: Bacterial small subunit ribosomal RNA
Source: RNAcentral